Oncorhynchus tshawytscha (Chinook salmon) is the source of this 1803-nucleotide long non-coding RNA. NCBI's taxonomy places the organism in Eukaryota, Metazoa, Chordata, Actinopteri, Salmoniformes, Salmonidae. The record is from Ensembl.
CUUAGAGUCGUCCUGGGUGUGUCUGUAUCAGCUGAGUCGUCCUGGGUGUGUCUGUAUCAGCUGAGUCUCGUGUUGGGUGUGUCUGUAUCAGCUUUGAGUCGUGCUGGGUGUGUCUGUAUCAGCUUUGAGUCGUGCUGGGUGUGUCUGUAUCAGCUUUGAGUCGUGCUGGGUGUGUCUGUAUCAGCUUUGAGUAGUGUUGGGUGUGUCUGUAUCAGUUUUGCACAUCUGGAUUUUGGGCAUUUUCUCAAAUUUUUCCUUGCAGAUUUUCUCAAGCUUUCUUAAGUUAGAUGGGUAGUGGCGGUGAACAGCAAUCUUCAAGUUUUUCCACAGAUUUUAAAUGGGACUCAAGGCUACGCCACUCAAGGACUUUCACAUUCUUGUUCUGAAGCCAUUCAAGCGUUGCUUUGGCUGUAUGCUUGGGGUCCUUGUCCUGUUGAAACGUAACUCUUUGCUCCCAGUCUAAGGUUGUUUGCACUCUGAAGCAGGUUCUUAUCACAGAUUUUCUUGUAUUUGGCUCCAUUCAUUGUUCCCUCUAUGCUUACCAGUCUCUGCUACUGAAAAGCAUCCCCAUAGCAUGACACUGCCACCACCAUACUUCACAGUAGGGGAUAUGUUAGACAGGUGAUGAGCUGUGCCUGUUUUAUUCCAGACACUGAUUUACAUUCACGCCAAAGAGUUAUAUAUUUUAUCUCAUCAGACCACAGGAUAUUUUGCCUUAUGCUCUGUCUUUUACAUGCCUUUUGCAAACACCAGGUCAUGUACCUUUUCCUCAGGAGUGGCUUCCAUCUGACCACUCUCCCAUAUAAAGCCCAGAUUGGUGAAGUGCUGUAAAGACUGUUGUCCUUCUGACAGGUUCUCCCAUCUCAGCCAAGAAACUCUGUAGAUCUGUUAAGAGUGGUCAUUGGGUUCUUGCCCAAUUGCUCAGUUAGGUCAGACAGCCAGCUCUAAGCAGUCUGGGUAGUUCCAUAUUUUUUUCAAUUUCCUAUGAUGGAGACCACUGGGCUCAUGGAAACUUCUUCAACAUUCUAAACAUUCUUUAUACCCUUUUCCCCCAGAUAGAAUUGUGAUUAAGCCUACAGUAUAUCUCAGAGCACUACGGACAGUUCCUUGGACUUCAUGCUACAGUUUCUGCUCUGUCAACAGUGGGACUUUAUUUACACAUACAGCUGUGUCUCUUUCUAAAUCAUGUCCACAUGUAGACUUCAAAUCGAGUUGUAGUGACAAACCCAAGGAUGAUCAAAGGACAUUGGAUGCAAUUUGUAGCGUCAUAGCAAAGAGGUGUGAAUACUUAUGUAAAUUAGAUAUAUUUCCGUAUUUCAUUUUUUCAAUAUAUUUUCAACAUUUAAAAAAAACAAAAAUAAACAUGUUUUGACUUUGUUAUUAUAGGGUAUUGUGUGUAGAUAAAUGGAUUAGGAAAAAUACAUUAAAUCCAUUUUAAAUUCAGGCUGGAACACAAAAUGUGUAAUAAGUCAAGGGGUACCAGUACUAUCACCGAUAUUGUCCUUUUUAACCGCUAAAUCAGUACGGGUGGAUAUUCACUGAUAACCGAUAUUGAAUAAAUAGAAUGAAACGAGGGAAUCUCAUGCUGAUCGGAACACCUGCAGCCAUUUUGCGUGACAUUAUUAUCGUCACAAAGUAUGAAAUCAACAUUUGAAGCCUAGUUUAUUGGACAAUUUUCUUUUGGAUCGAAAUGUCUGAGAAUUUAGAGUAGAAAGAUGACACGUUUUCAUUUCCCACUCUAAAAAAAACAAUAUACCGGCAUCGGGAACUUUUGACACCCCAAAAAUCGUAAUCAGACCCCCC